This 337-nucleotide unclassified non-coding RNA is filed under the name soil metagenome. RNAcentral's name for it is "partial contains 5.8S ribosomal RNA, internal transcribed spacer 2, and large subunit ribosomal RNA". The stretch from base 1 to 120 matches the Rfam family "5.8S ribosomal RNA", at positions 35 to 154 of the family's 154-position model. The record is from RNAcentral.
GAUGAAGAACGUAGCGAAAUGCGAUAAGUAGUGUGAAUUGCAGAAUUUAGUGAAUCAUCGAAUCUUUGAACGCACAUUGCGCCCCAUGGUAUUCCGUGGGGCAUGCCUGUUCGAGCGUCAUUUACCCCCUCAAGCUCCGCUUGGUGUUGGGCGUCUGUCCCGCUUCGCGCGCGGACUCGCCCCAAAGGUAUUGGCAGCGGUCGUGCCAGCUUCUCGCGCAGCACAUUGCGCUUCUCGAGGCACCGGUGGGCCCGCGUCCAUCAAGCUCACCCCCCCAGUUUGACCUCGGAUCAGGUAGGGAUACCCGCUGAACUUAAGCAUAUCAAUAAGCGGAGGA